Molecule: non-coding RNA, 181 nt
Filed under: Firmicutes bacterium CAG:238
Lineage: Bacteria; Bacillati; Bacillota
Also listed under: 1 other name
Description: 6S / SsrS RNA
Rfam family: 6S / SsrS RNA
About the family: E. coli 6S RNA was the first non coding RNA to be sequenced, but its function was unknown until recently. It consists of 184 nucleotides that fold into an extended hairpin structure with a large single-stranded internal bulge.
Source: Rfam by way of RNAcentral
CCAAUCCUAGGUUAUGCGUUAAGGAAACAUAAUUGAACCUACAAUUUUUGAACGGGAAUCCGGGUUUCGCGUGCGUUAUGUCAGGCCUCCUUCGAGUGGAAGACAGAAGCAGGAGAACAGGGCACCCACCUAUCGGAAGAUAGGGCGUCAAUUAUAUCCUUAACGGUAAUUUGGGAUUUUA